Molecule: ribosomal RNA, 1345 nt
Filed under: uncultured bacterium
Lineage: Bacteria
Description: bacterial SSU rRNA
Rfam family: Bacterial small subunit ribosomal RNA
Source: RNAcentral
GAUGAACGCUAGCGGGAGGCCUAACACAUGCAAGCCGAGCGGUAUUGUUUCUUCGGAAAUGAGAGAGCGGCGUACGGGUGCGGAACACGUGUGCAACCUGCCUUUAUCUGGGGGAUAGCCUUUCGAAAGGAAGAUUAAUACUCCAUAAUAUAUUGAACGGCAUCGUUUAAUAUUGAAAGCUCCGGCGGAUAGAGAUGGGCACGCGCAAGAUUAGCUAGUUGGUGAGGUAACGGCUCACCAAGGCGAUGAUCUUUAGGGGGCCUGAGAGGGUGAUCCCCCACACUGGUACUGAGACACGGACCAGACUCCUACGGGAGGCAGCAGUGAGGAAUAUUGGUCAAUGGGUGCAAGCCUGAACCAGCCAUCCCGCGUGAAGGACGACUGCCCUAUGGGUUGUAAACUUCUUUUGUAUAGGGAUAAACCUACCCUCGUGAGGGUAGCUGAAGGUACUAUACGAAUAAGCACCGGCUAACUCCGUGCCAGCAGCCGCGGUAAUACGGAGGGUGCAAGCGUUAUCCGGAUUUAUUGGGUUUAAAGGGUCCGUAGGCGGACUUAUAAGUCAGUGGUGAAAGCCUGUCGCUUAACGAUAGAACUGCCAUUGAUACUGUAAGUCUUGAGUAUAUUUGAGGUAGCUGGAAUAAGUAGUGUAGCGGUGAAAUGCAUAGAUAUUACUUAGAACACCAAUUGCGAAGGCAGGUUACCAAGAUAUAACUGACGCUGAGGGACGAAAGCGUGGGGAGCGAACAGGAUUAGAUACCCUGGUAGUCCACGCCGUAAACGAUGCUAACUCGUUUUUGGGCUUUAGGGUUCAGAGACCAAGCGAAAGUGAUAAGUUAGCCACCUGGGGAGUACGCUCGCAAGAGUGAGACUCAAAGGAAUUGACGGGGGCCCGCACAAGCGGUGGAUUAUGUGGUUUAAUUCGAUGAUACGCGAGGAACCUUACCAAGACUUAAAUGGGAAUUGACAGCUUUAGAAAUAGAGCUUUCUUCGGACAAUUUUCAAGGUGCUGCAUGGUUGUCGUCAGCUCGUGCCGUGAGGUGUUAGGUUAAGUCCUGCAACGAGCGCAACCCCUGUCACUAGUUGCCAUCAUUCAGUUGGGGACUCUAGUGAGACUGCCUACGCAAGUAGAGAGGAAGGUGGGGAUGACGUCAAAUCAUCACGGCCCUUACGUCUUGGGCCACACACGUAAUACAAUGGCCGGUACAGAGGGCAGCUUCACAGCGAUGUGAUGCAAAUCUCGAAAGCCGGUCUCAGUUCGGAUUGGAGUCUGCAACUCGACUCUAUGAAGCUGGAAUCGCUAGUAAUCGCGCAUCAGCCAUGGCGCGGUGAAUACGUUCCCGGGCCU